AGCGCAAAGGGAGACAGUGACGCGCCGGGGGUAGGAGACGGUCACCGCAGCAAGACUUCGGCGCAGAGUCAAUGGUGAGACCGGCCCAUGCGGU
Molecule: non-coding RNA, 94 nt
Filed under: unclassified sequences
Description: c-di-GMP sequence
Rfam family: c-di-GMP-II-GAG riboswitch aptamer
Source: Rfam by way of RNAcentral